UUUAAUUUCCAAAGACAAGUCAUCACAGAAUAUUACAAUUCUUCCUUAGCAAACCUGCCCCUCAGUCUGCCCCUGAGCAACAACUUUGCGCAUGCCCAUUUCAACGCAUCGCUGAAACUGGGGUUUCAGAAGAGAUUUUGCAGGGGUUCAACACCGUCUUGUACGCAUUGGAUUUCAACUGGAAAUUAGCUACUUCAAAGAUUAUCCUACCACCGUCACACGGCCUAGCACUGUGUCCCUGGGAAAUGAUGAUUCCAUACCCCUAGAUGUCAACUCUGGUCUGGUGGAGGUGAACCAAUUGGGGGCCCAGGAAAACAGCUGGCAGCCAG
This is a long non-coding RNA of Osmerus eperlanus (European smelt), 329 nucleotides long. RefSeq lists it as uncharacterized. The record is from RefSeq and is a predicted model, not a curated record. Lineage: Eukaryota; Metazoa; Chordata; Actinopteri; Osmeriformes; Osmeridae. The transcript is spliced from 3 exons.